GCUCCUCGGAGUUUGGCGGUGGCGCCUCCAUGGGUCAGGACAGCCGCGCCACCGUGCUGUGAGUGUUUCCACCACUCCGAGGAGACAGCAUUCAGAGUUCUUGGCUAAGUCGGCCUUGUGAGGAGCUGGCGAUAAUUUGAUUCCAUCUCCAGGUUUUCUGUCACAUGAGAACCAUGAGCAGCUUUACUAAGGACGAGUUUGACUGCCACAUCCUUGAUGAAGGCUUUACUGCUAAGGACAUUCUGGACCAAAAAAUCAGUGAAGUCUCUUCCUUUGACGAUAAGGAUGCUUUCUACGUUGCGGACCCUGGAGACAUUCUAAAGAAGCAUCUGAGGUGGCUAAAAGCUCUUCCCCGUGUCACUCCCUUUUACGCAGUCAAGUGUAACGAUAGCAGAGCCAUAGUGAGCACCCUAGCUGCCAUUGGGACAGGAUUUGACUGUGCAAGCAAGACUGAAAUACAGUUGGUACAGGGGCUUGGGGUGCCUCCAGAGAGGAUUAUCUAUGCAAAUUGUAAACAAGUCUCUCAAAUCAAGUAUGCAGCCAGUAACGGAGUCCAGAUGAUGACUUUUGACAGUGAAAUUGAAUUGAUGAAAGUCGCCAGAGCACAUCCAAAGGCAAAGUUGGUUCUGCGGAUUGCCACUGAUGAUUCCAAAGCCGUUUGCCGCCUCAGUGUUAAGUUUGGUGCCACACUCAAAACCAGCAGGCUUCUCUUGGAACGGGCAAAAGAGCUAAAUAUUGAUGUCAUUGGUGUGAGCUUCCAUGUGGGCAGUGGAUGUACUGACCUCGAGACCUUCGUGCAGGCAGUGUCGGAUGCCCGCUGUGUGUUUGACAUGGCAACAGAAGUUGGUUUCAGCAUGUAUCUGCUUGAUAUUGGUGGUGGCUUUCCUGGAUCUGAAGAUACAAAGCUUAAAUUUGAAGAGAUCACCAGUGUAAUCAACCCAGCUCUGGACAAGUACUUCCCAUCAGACUCUGGAGUGAGAAUCAUAGCUGAGCCAGGCAGAUACUAUGUCGCGUCAGCUUUCACGCUUGCAGUCAACAUCAUUGCCAAAAAAACCGUGUGGAAGGAGCAGCCCGGCUCUGACGAUGAAGAUGAGUCAAAUGAGCAAACCUUCAUGUAUUAUAUGAAUGAUGGAGUAUAUGGAUCAUUUAACUGCAUUCUCUAUGAUCAUGCCCAUGUGAAGGCCCUGCUGCAGAAGAGACCCAAGCCAGAUGAGAAGUAUUACUCAUCCAGCAUCUGGGGGCCAACAUGUGAUGGCCUUGAUCGGAUCGUGGAGCGCUGUAACCUGCCUGAAAUGCAUGUGGGUGAUUGGAUGCUGUUUGAGAACAUGGGUGCAUACACCGUUGCUGCUGCUUCUACUUUCAAUGGGUUCCAGAGGCCAAACAUCUAC
Non-coding RNA from Mus caroli (Ryukyu mouse), 1388 nucleotides. The record is from RefSeq and is a predicted model, not a curated record. NCBI's taxonomy places the organism in Eukaryota, Metazoa, Chordata, Mammalia, Rodentia, Muridae.